CAUGACGGCGGUCAUGGAAGCAGCAGCGAAAAGAACUCCGCAAGCAAUCUUCUUCAUCUCCAUUUUUAGUUGAGACCUGAAAGGGUUUAUUUUCUUCUUUUUGUUUGGUAGUUUUGUUACUUUUUUUUGUUUCUUGCAGGUCUGAAGAAAAAUAGAUGGUGUUCAAGGGGAUUUAUACGGGAGCGUCUGUGAUGGUGGAGCAGAACCAGGAUGGGGACCAGAACCAUUAGUAGGCUUACACGAACUUUCCUUUUACUAAAAUGCGACCCACUUUGAGCCCACAUAGAGUGAGCCUGAGCCUAAGAUGCAAAAAGUACUUGCAAUAUACGAUGGGUGUAAAGAGUUUUUCUUUCAAAAUGAAAGGACAUGACACAUGGAGAUUCUGUCCAAAGGACUCCCAAGUUGUGUCUUUGGCUGUCUCUUUCUUUUUGUCUUUCUGCUUUGGGAUCUCUUUUCAAUUUCAUUGGCUGCUUUUUCAAAUUUAAACUGUUAACUGUAAAUCUUGAGUCUUGUAAUAUCACUGCACAUAAUUUCAA
Raphanus sativus (radish) is the source of this 536-nucleotide long non-coding RNA. RefSeq lists it as uncharacterized. NCBI's taxonomy places the organism in Eukaryota, Viridiplantae, Streptophyta, Magnoliopsida, Brassicales, Brassicaceae. The transcript is spliced from 2 exons. The record is from RefSeq and is a predicted model, not a curated record.